This 484-nucleotide ribosomal RNA is filed under the name uncultured bacterium. RNAcentral's name for it is "partial 16S ribosomal RNA". It matches the Rfam family "Bacterial small subunit ribosomal RNA", at positions 28 to 523 of the family's 1533-position model. The record is from RNAcentral.
GAUGAACGCUGGCGGCGUGCUUAACACAUGCAAGUCGAACGGUGAAGCAGGAGCUUGCUCUUGUGGAUCAGUGGCGAACGGGUGAGUAACACGUGAGCAGCCUGCCCCAGACUCUGGGAUAAGCGCUGGAAACGGCGUCUAAUACUGGAUAUGUGAUGUGACCGCAUGGUCUGCAUCUGGAAAGAAUUUCGGUUGGGGAUGGGCUCGCGGCCUAUCAGCUUGUUGGUGAGGUAAUGGCUCACCAAGGCGUCGACGGGUAGCCGGCCUGAGAGGGUGACCGGCCACACUGGGACUGAGACACGGCCCAGACUCCUACGGGAGGCAGCAGUGGGGAAUAUUGCACAAUGGGCGGAAGCCUGAUGCAGCAACGCCGCGUGAGGGAUGACGGCCUUCGGGUUGUAAACCUCUUUUAGCAGGGAAGAAGCGAAAGUGACGGUACCUGCAGAAAAAGCACCGGCUAACUACGUGCCAGCCGCCGCGGUAA